CGCCCGGGCGGGGGGCCCUAAUACAUGCAAGUCGAGCGGACAGAAGGGAGCUUGCUCCCGGAUGUUAGCGGCGGACGGGUGAGUAACACGUGGGUAACCUGCCUGUAAGACUGGGAUAACUCCGGGAAACCGGAGCUAAUACCGGAUAGUUCCUUGAACCGCAUGGUUCAAGGAUGAAAGACGGUUUCGGCUGUCACUUACAGAUGGACCCGCGGCGCAUUAGCUAGUUGGUGAGGUAACGGCUCACCAAGGCGACGAUGCGUAGCCGACCUGAGAGGGUGAUCGGCCACACUGGGACUGAGACACGGCCCAGACUCCUACGGGAGGCAGCAGUAGGGAAUCUUCCGCAAUGGACGAAAGUCUGACGGAGCAACGCCGCGUGAGUGAUGAAGGUUUUCGGAUCGUAAAGCUCUGUUGUUAGGGAAGAACAAGUGCAAGAGUAACUGCUUGCACCUUGACGGUACCUAACCAGAAAGCCACGGCUAACUACGUGCCAGCAGCCGCGGUAAUACGUAGGUGGCAAGCGUUGUCCGGAAUUAUUGGGCGUAAAGGGCUCGCAGGCGGUUUCUUAAGUCUGAUGUGAAAGCCCCCGGCUCAACCGGGGAGGGUCAUUGGAAACUGGGAAACUUGAGUGCAGAAGAGGAGAGUGGAAUUCCACGUGUAGCGGUGAAAUGCGUAGAGAUGUGGAGGAACACCAGUGGCGAAGGCGACUCUCUGGUCUGUAACUGACUCUGAUGAGCGAAAGCGUGGGGGGCGAACACGAUUAUAUACCCUGGUAGUCCACGCCGUACACCAUCAGUGCUGGAGUGUUAUGCGGGUUUCCGCCCCUUAUUGCUGCAGCUAGAGCAUUAUCCACUCCUUCUGCCGGAGUACUAGUCGUAACACUUAACAGAUCGACCCACUGAGAGAGGGCCGCGUGAUCUGCUCGUAUCAAGUAAGUUAACUCGAGCGACGUCUAUGCAGCAUACUAGUGCUGGGCAUCGUCUGACACCCAU
This 995-nucleotide ribosomal RNA is filed under the name Bacillus pumilus. RNAcentral describes it as "bacterial SSU rRNA". It matches the Rfam family "Bacterial small subunit ribosomal RNA", at positions 34 to 1001 of the family's 1533-position model. The record is from RNAcentral. Lineage: Bacteria; Bacillati; Bacillota; Bacilli; Caryophanales; Bacillaceae.